GAUGAAGAACGCAGCGAAAUGCGAUACGUAAUGUGAAUUGCAGAUUUCAGUGAAUCAUCGAAUCUUUGAACGCACAUUGCGCCCGCCAGUAUUCUGGCGGGCAUGCCUGUUCGAGCGUCAUUUCAACCAUCAAGCGCCUCGCUUGUGUUGGGGCCCUGCGGCUGCCGCAGGCCCCUAAAUCCAGUGGCGGGCUCGUCGUCGUACCGAGUGCAGUAAACAUCCUCGCUCAGGGAACCCGACGGGUGCCGGCCGUGAAGCCCCCCCUCCUCAAGGUUGACCUCGGAUCAGGUAGGAAUACCCGCUGAACUUAAGCAUAUCAAUAAGCGGAGGA
Molecule: unclassified non-coding RNA, 331 nt
Filed under: soil metagenome
Description: partial contains 5.8S ribosomal RNA, internal transcribed spacer 2, and large subunit ribosomal RNA
Rfam family: 5.8S ribosomal RNA (bases 1-120)
Source: RNAcentral